Long non-coding RNA from Sinocyclocheilus anshuiensis, 392 nucleotides. RefSeq lists it as uncharacterized. The record is from RefSeq and is a predicted model, not a curated record. The transcript is spliced from 3 exons. NCBI's taxonomy places the organism in Eukaryota, Metazoa, Chordata, Actinopteri, Cypriniformes, Cyprinidae.
AUUUGUAAAAAUGCAGUUUAAGUCCAACAAUGAUUUGACUGUCUCUACAAUGAGAGAAAACGUACUGAAACAGUUGAGAUCUGCUCUAGCUGCUAGAAGAUUGACAGAUGUGACUCUACGUUGGUCUCAAACCCCUAAACGGGUGAUCAAGAAAGUGAAUGUAGCUAAUCCAGAAUGUCAUUGAAGUAGGGAAAAUUAAUACUCUGGAAAUCAACACUGCCUUUAAUUCACUACAUUCAUAUUCAUUAAAGAUGAUUUUCAUUCUAAUUACACUGACUGAAAUUUCUUCAUGUGUUUACUAUGUGAAUACUUUUAAAGCAGAACUAUUGUAAAACUAUCUUGUGUAAUUGUGUAUUGUCAGCAAAUAAAGAUAUCAAUAAAUAUAAUUAAAA